Molecule: long non-coding RNA, 479 nt
Organism: Saccostrea echinata
Lineage: Eukaryota; Metazoa; Mollusca; Bivalvia; Ostreida; Ostreidae
Exons: 3
Source: RefSeq, a predicted model, not a curated record
AAGUAGCAAGAUGAAGGCAUGACUUAUUUCAAGUCUUUUCAAUUACCGAACCAAUGGCAUAAUACAUUUCUCUUGUCAACCUCAUCUCUAAAUUGUUGACAGUUUAUCAGCUUCUCUUCAACUACCCUUCAUUACAAGUGGUCCAGAAAAGUAAGGAAUAAUCAAGAAAGACAAAAAGAAUAAGAACAGCAGUGGGCUGCUUGCUGAUAUAAAGCAGAGACAAGAAGCAUGAUCAUUUCACAAGACGAGGGGCCCUGUAAGAUUAACUAACAACACAGCAGGAUUUCCAGAAGAAGCAAACAAAAAAGAGCUUCCAAGCCAAUUUACAAAACAAUUUGAGUUGCUGCAGCCUCUUAGUCUCAGCAGUGGUGACUUAAUGUGAAGCAAAUCCAGCUGAAUAUUUUAUACCAUCGUUCAUGAGCUGGAGUAGUUUGGACGAGGAGACGUCAUUAUAACGACGGACAUCGAACCCGAGAUCC